Plodia interpunctella (Indianmeal moth) is the source of this 2510-nucleotide long non-coding RNA. RefSeq lists it as uncharacterized. The transcript is spliced from 2 exons. The record is from RefSeq and is a predicted model, not a curated record. Lineage: Eukaryota; Metazoa; Arthropoda; Insecta; Lepidoptera; Pyralidae.
UAUUGAUUCCCGCAUACCAUAAACCCUUGCAAUUCAAUUCACAAGUCUCCUUCCAUUGUUUGUCAAAAAGCUUUGAUAUAUUUUGUUUUAAUAAAGAUAGAACAUCUCCCACUGGUAGUGAGCAAGAUUUUAAUUCAAUGCAGUUACCAUAACGCACUAUAGUUUUGGCACCUAUGUGUGAUGGAGUCCAUAGCAAUAUUAUAUCCUUAUGAUGAUUCUGACAGAGAUCAUAGUACUUUUCUCUUAUUUUAUGUGUUAUAAAUGAGGUGGUAGAACCAAAUUUUGGAUUAUCAGUAAUAAUAAUCCAAUUAUCAUAGGAAUGUUGAGAAAUGUAUUCGAGAGCUGAAAAUAUUCCAAUUGACUCUGCCGUAUAAAUGGAAGCAUUAUUAGGGAGUCUACACCCAUGACCCGUUUUGGCUUCUAAAUCAUAAAUAGCCAUUGAGACAGCUGACGUUGACGUAUUCUUUGAACCGUCUGUAUAAAUUUGCUUGUAACCUCUGUAUGAUUCUAAUUUGUUGUAAACAUCCUCUUUAAAUUCAAGAGAUUUAUCUAUAACAAUUUUAAUAGGAUAAAAUAUGCUUUCGUAAGAACCUGAAUAGCAUGGCAGGAUUACACUUUCAUAAAGAUUGUUUUGAAGUUUGAAUUCGACAGCUUCUUUAAGACAUUCUCUUAAGUUUGAAGAAGAAUUUACUAACUUUGGCAUUAAGGGGUGACCUGUUGAAGAACAAAUUUUGAGCAGAAAUUUAUAGUUAAGAUAACGGAAUCUUAUGGCUAGAGGAGGAAGUCCCAAGCUGAUUAGAGUGGCAGAAAGAACAUGCAAGUUAACAUUAUUAAAAGCACCAACUACAUCAAAGAAGACACAAGCCAGAAUUUUAUUGUUUGAUAAGGCCUCCUGAAUGUCCAAAUUCAAGUGACACAGACUUUCUCGAGCUGAUCGACCACGGCGAAAUCCAAAUUGAUUAUAAGGCAAUAAAUGGUUACUCUCUACAUAAAAUUUAAGACGUUGUUUUAAUAACUGUUCAAAAAUUUUGCCAACACAUGAGGUCAAAGUAAUCGGAUGAUAAGAGUCUGGAUCAUUAGGAGCUUUAUCUGGUUUUAGAAUUGGAAUAAUACAAUCCAUUUUCCAUUGUGAAGGAAUUAAGGAGUUCUGCCAUAGCAAAUUUAAAAUUGUUAAAAAUGUUUAUUAGAAUCAUUCAACAAUUUAAACAUUCUGUAGGAUAAAUAAUCUAGACCUGUUGAAGUAUCUUUUCUAGAGUUAAGGGCUGAUUGUAAUUCUUGCAUAGAAAAGUCCUUCAACAAAUAAGAAUUAGGUUGUGUGAAUAGAGGGAACAGUAAAAUUAUUUUCAACUGUAUCUGGGGUGUAUUUAUGAAGAAAGUCAGAUACCCAAUUGUAUUCAGAAACAAAAUUUGUGGAAGGAGAGUAUGAAUUGUUAAAUUUUUUAAUUUUCUUCCAAAUUUCACUCAUAGAAGAUAAACGAUUUAGUGAGGAACAGUAUUGCAACCAACUGAAUUGUCUUUUGCAUCUUAAAAUAACUUUUUUAAUAGCCUGAACACGUUUCAAAUUAAUAAAAUUUUCUGUAGACGGACAAGUUUUAAAUAAAAUAUAAGCUUUAUGAACAUUUUCUACUGCUUGAGAACAAAUGUGAUUCCACCAUGGCAAAGAUCUACGACUUAAAUUUAUACUGGGUGCAACAGAAUGUUUAGCUUUGGGAGCUGAAGCUUCAACAGUACUAGAAAUUAUAGAACAAAAACUAUUAUAAGAAUUGAUGGGAUCCAUAUGAUUAAUAUUGAAAUUAGACAACAAUAAAUUGACCUGUGCUUCAUAAGUCUUCCAAUCAACCAAUUUUAAAUUAACAUGUUUUAGCAAAUUUGAAGAGUUAUGAAGCAUAUUAUUAGAAUUUGGUCCUAGACACAACCUUGUUAAUGUAGGUAAGUGAUAACUUCCAAGUGGGUUGUCACAGACCUGCCAAUCACACUGUAAUGCUAAACACGAUGAAACCAUGGUGAGAUCAAGACCAUUAGGUCUAGCAAUAUUUGAACCAAUCGUAGUAGGCACAUUGCUGUUUAAGAGAACCAAAUUAUUUUUAUCAAUAAUAUCUAGAAUGUCCCUACCACGAGCAUCAGUAGAAUGACAACCCCAAUAUGGGUGAUGAGCGUUAAAAUCUCCUGAAUAAAUAAAGGGUUUGGGUAAAGAAGAAAUUAAAUUCAAUUUAUUACUACAGAAUCUAGGGGUGCUAAUACUAGGACAAUAAACACAACUAUGGUGACAGAUUUACUAUUUAAUUGGAGAGAAAUUGCCACAGUUUGUAUUGAGUUAUCAGAUGCAAUAGCAAAAUUAGAGAAAUGAAAAGAGUUAUGAAUUAAAAUAGCUACCCCAUUGUGGUCAUUGCCAGAGUCAUUUCUUACAACAGAGUAGCCUUUAAUAUUAAAUUUGUGGUGUGGUCUUAACCACGUUUCUGAUAUAAUAGCAACAUGUAUAUUUUGAUCAUAUAAAAAUUUCUGGAAGUCAA